ACCGAUUGAAUGAUUGGGUGAAAUGAUUAGAUUGCGGUGACAUGGGCGGUUCAAUUCCCGCAACAUCGUGAGUAGUCCACUGAACCUUAUCAUUUAGAGGAAGGAGCAGUCGUAACAGGGUUUUCGAAGUUGAACCUGCAGAAGGAUCAUUG
Molecule: non-coding RNA, 152 nt
Filed under: Solanum tuberosum (potato)
Lineage: Eukaryota; Viridiplantae; Streptophyta; Magnoliopsida; Solanales; Solanaceae
Description: Eukaryotic small subunit ribosomal RNA
Rfam family: Eukaryotic small subunit ribosomal RNA
Source: Rfam by way of RNAcentral